AUACGGAGGAUGCGAGCGUUAUCCGGAUUUAUUGGGGUUAAAGGGAGCGUAGGUGGGAUAUUAAGUCAGCUGUGAAAGUUUGGGGCUCAACCUUAAAAUUGCAGUUGAUACUGGUUUCCUUGAGUACGGUACAGGUGGGCGGAAUUCGUGGUGUAGCGGUGAAAUGCUUAGAUAUCACGAAGAACUCCGAUCGCGAAGGCAGCUCACCGGGCCGGAACUGACACUGAUGCUCGAAAGUGCGGGUAUCAAACAGGAUUAGAUACCCUGGUAGUCCGCACAGUAAACGAUGAAUACUCGCUGUUUGCGAUACACGGUAAGCGGCCAAGCGAAAGCGUUAAGUAUUCCACCUGGGGAGUACGCCGGCAACGGUGAAACUCAAAGGAAUUGACGGGG
This 393-nucleotide ribosomal RNA is filed under the name uncultured bacterium. RNAcentral's name for it is "partial 16S ribosomal RNA". It matches the Rfam family "Bacterial small subunit ribosomal RNA", at positions 523 to 918 of the family's 1533-position model. The record is from RNAcentral.